This 695-nucleotide ribosomal RNA is filed under the name Postia sequoiae. Its description in RNAcentral is "eukaryotic LSU rRNA". The stretch from base 252 to 405 matches the Rfam family "5.8S ribosomal RNA". Lineage: Eukaryota; Fungi; Basidiomycota; Agaricomycetes; Polyporales; Postiaceae. The record is from RNAcentral.
CUUGGUCAUUUAGAGGAAGUAAAAGUCGUAACAAGGUUUCCGUAGGUGAACCUGCGGAAGGAUCAUUAUUGAAUUUUUAAAGGAGUUGUUUGCUGGCCCUUGGGCAUGUGCACACUUCUUUUAAAUCCUUCAAACUCUUUAUACCCCUGUGCACCUUUUGUAGAGUUGUGGCUGAAAGGCUGCAUUCUAUGUUUAUCAUAAACUCUUUAGUAUGUGUAGAAUGUUUUAAUGCGUAUAAUGCAUCUUUAUACAACUUUCAGCAACGGAUCUCUUGGCUCUCGCAUCGAUGAAGAACGCAGCGAAAUGCGAUAAGUAAUGUGAAUUGCAGAAUUCAGUGAAUCAUCGAAUCUUUGAACGCACCUUGCGCUCCUUGGUAUUCUGAGGAGCAUGCCUGUUUGAGUGUUAUGGAAUUAUCAACUUUUAUUUUUUUCUUUGCUGAAAGAAUUAAGAGCUUGGACUUGGAGGCUUUAUUGCUGGCCUUUCUUUGGAAGGUCAGCUCCUCUUGAAUGUAUUAGCUUGAACCUAUGCUGUAUCAGCUGUCCGGUGUGAUAAUUGUCUACGCCGUGGGCUGUAUAAGGCUUUAAAUUGUUAGGCUCAGCUUCUAAUAGUCCCUUGGGGGACAAUAUCUUCAUUGACCUUUAACCUCAAAUCAGGUAGGAUUACCCGCUGAACUUAAGCAUAUCAAUAAGCGGAGG